RNAcentral lists this ribosomal RNA (240 nucleotides) under Candidatus Portiera aleyrodidarum (primary endosymbiont of Bemisia tabaci). Its description in RNAcentral is "partial 23S ribosomal RNA". It matches the Rfam family "Bacterial large subunit ribosomal RNA", at positions 1870 to 2105 of the family's 2925-position model. The record is from RNAcentral. Lineage: Bacteria; Pseudomonadati; Pseudomonadota; Gammaproteobacteria; Johnevansiales (SeqCode); Johnevansiaceae (SeqCode).
CGAAAGGUCAAGGAAGUUGGUGACCUGAUGACAGGGGAGCUGGCGACCGAAGCCCCAGUGAACGGCGGCCGCAACUAUAACGGUCCUAAGUUAGCGAAAUUCCUUGUCGGGUAAGUUUUGACCUAAACGAAAGGCGUAAUGAUCUAGGCACUGUAUUGGAGAGAGGCUCGAUGAAAUAGACAUGUCUGUGAAGAUGCGGACUACCUGCACCUGGACAAAAAGACCCUAUGAAGCUUCACU